AUUGAACGCUGGCGGCAUGCUUUACACAUGCCAGUCGAACGGCAGCGCGGGCUUCGGCCUGGCGGCGAGUGGCGAACGGGUGAGUAAUGCAUCGGAACGUGCCCAGUAGUGGGGGAUAGCCCGGCGAAAGCCGGAUUAAUACCGCAUACGACCUGAGGGUGAAAGCGGGGGACCGAAAGGCCUCGCGCUAUUGGAGCGGCCGAUGUCGGAUUAGCUAGUUGGUGGGGUAAAGGCUUACCAAGGCGACGAUCCGUAGCUGGUCUGAGAGGACGACCAGCCACACUGGGACUGAGACACGGCCCAGACUCCUACGGGAGGCAGCAGUGGGGAAUUUUGGACAAUGGGGGCAACCCUGAUCCAGCCAUGCCGCGUGCGGGAAGAAGGCCUUCGGGUUGUAAACCGCUUUUGUUCGGGAAGAAAUCCUCUGGGCUAAUACCCCGGGGGGAUGACGGUACCGUAAGAAUAAGCACCGGCUAACUACGUG
RNAcentral lists this ribosomal RNA (484 nucleotides) under uncultured bacterium. RNAcentral describes it as "partial 16S ribosomal RNA". It matches the Rfam family "Bacterial small subunit ribosomal RNA", at positions 28 to 507 of the family's 1533-position model. The record is from RNAcentral.